This 425-nucleotide ribosomal RNA is filed under the name uncultured prokaryote. Its description in RNAcentral is "bacterial SSU rRNA". It matches the Rfam family "Bacterial small subunit ribosomal RNA", at positions 355 to 796 of the family's 1533-position model. The record is from RNAcentral.
CAACGAAUCUUCCGCAAUGCGCGAAAGCGUGACGGAGCAAUGCCGCGUGCAGGAUGAAGCCUUUCGGGGUGUAAACUGCUGUCAGGGUUUAGCAACACAAUGAGCAGACCCAAAGGAAGGGCCGGCUAACUUCGUGCCAGCAGCCGCGGUAAUACGAAGGGCCCGAGCGUUGCGCGGAAUCACUGGGCUUAAAGCGUACGUAGGCGGACAUGCAGGCACCUUGUGAAAGCCCUCGGCUCAACCGAGGAAUUGCUUGGUGAACCGCAUGUCUUGAGGCAAGUAGGGGCUGUCGGAACGAUAGGUGGAGCGGUGAAAUGCGUUGAUAUCUAUCGGAACGCCGAAGGCGAAGGCAGGCAGCUGGGCUUGUUCUGACGCUGAGGUACGAAAGCGUGGGGAGCGAACGGGAUUAGAUACCCCUGUAGUCC